ACGCUGGCGGCAGGCCUAACACAUGCAAGUCGAGCGGUAGAGAGAAGCUUGCUUCUCUUGAGAGCGGCGGACGGGUGAGUAAUGCCUAGGAAUCUGCCUGGUAGUGGGGGAUAACGUUCGGAAACGGACGCUAAUACCGCAUACGUCCUACGGGAGAAAGCAGGGGACCUUCGGGCCUUGCGCUAUCAGAUGAGCCUAGGUCGGAUUAGCUAGUUGGUGGGGUAAUGGCUCACCAAGGCGACGAUCCGUAACUGGUCUGAGAGGAUGAUCAGUCACACUGGAACUGAGACACGGUCCAGACUCCUACGGGAGGCAGCAGUGGGGAAUAUUGGACAAUGGGCGAAAGCCUGAUCCAGCCAUGCCGCGUGUGUGAAGAAGGUCUUCGGAUUGUAAAGCACUUUAAGUUGGGAGGAAGGGUUGUAGAUUAAUACUCUGCAAUUUUGACGUUACCGACAGAAUAAGCACCGGCUAACUCUGUGCCAGCAGCCGCGGUAAUACAGAGGGUGCAAGCGCUAAUCGGAAUUACUGGGCGUAAAGCGCGCGUAGGUGGUUAGUUAAGUUGGAUGUGAAAUCCCCGGGCUCAACCUGGGAACUGCAUUCAAAACUGACUGACUAGAGUAUGGUAGAGGGUGGUGGAAUUUCCUGUGUAGCGGUGAAAUGCGUAGAUAUAGGAAGGAACACCAGUGGCGAAGGCGACCACCUGGACUGAUACUGACACUGAGGUGCGAAAGCGUGGGGAGCAAACAGGA
This 749-nucleotide ribosomal RNA is filed under the name uncultured bacterium. RNAcentral describes it as "bacterial SSU rRNA". It matches the Rfam family "Bacterial small subunit ribosomal RNA", at positions 33 to 777 of the family's 1533-position model. The record is from RNAcentral.